This 406-nucleotide ribosomal RNA is filed under the name uncultured bacterium. RNAcentral's name for it is "partial 16S ribosomal RNA". It matches the Rfam family "Bacterial small subunit ribosomal RNA", at positions 30 to 526 of the family's 1533-position model. The record is from RNAcentral.
AUUGAACGCUGGCGGCAGGCCUAACACAUGCAAGUCGAACGAGUGGCGGACGGGUGAGUAAUGUCUGGGAAACUGACUGAUGGAGGGGGAUAACUACUGGAAACGGUAGCUAAUACCGCAUACCAUCAGAUGUGCCCAGAUGGGAUUAGCUUGUUGGUGGGGUAACGGCUCACCAAGGCGACGAUCCCUAGCUGGUCUGAGAGGAUGACCCGGCAAACUGGAACGUAGACCAGGUCCAGAACCCUACGGGAGGCAGCAGUGGGGAAUAGUGCACAAUGGGGGCAAGCCUGAUGCAGCCAUGCCGCGUGUAUGAAGAAGGCCUUCGGGUUGUAAAGUACUUUCAGCGGGGAGGCGUUACCCGCAGAAGGAGCACCGGCUAACUCCGUGCCAGGAGGCGCGGUAAUAC